This 512-nucleotide ribosomal RNA is filed under the name uncultured bacterium. RNAcentral describes it as "partial 16S ribosomal RNA". It matches the Rfam family "Bacterial small subunit ribosomal RNA", at positions 28 to 507 of the family's 1533-position model. The record is from RNAcentral.
GAUGAACGCUGGCGGCGUGCCUAAUACAUGCAAGUCGAACGAAACUUCUUUAUCACCGAGUGCUUGCACUCACCGAUAAAGAGUUGAGUGGCGAACGGGUGAGUAACACGUGGGCAACCUGCCCAAAAGAGGGGGAUAACACUUGGAAACAGGUGCUAAUACCGCAUAACCAUAGUUACCGCAUGGUAACUAUGUAAAAGGUUGCUAUACUACCGCUUUUGGAUGGGCCCGCGGCGCAUUAGCUAGUUGGUAGGGUAAAGGCUUACCAAGGCAAUGAUGCGUAGCCGAAUUGAGAGGUUGAUCGGCCACAUUGGGACUGAGACACGGCCCAAACUCCUACGGGAGGCAGCAGUAGGGAAUCUUCCACAAUGGGCGAAAGCCUGAUGGAGCAACGCCGCGUGGGUGAAGAAGGUCUUCAGAUCGUAAAACCCUGUUGUUAGAGAAGAAAGUGCGUGAGAGUAACUGUUCACGUUUCGACGGUAUCUAACCAGAAAGCCACGGCUAACUACGUG